AGCGAACGCUGGCGGCAGGCCUAACACAUGCAAGUCGAGCGCUCGUAGCAAUACGGGAGCGGCAGACGGGUGAGUAACACGUGGGAACGUACCCUUCGGUUCGGAAUAACUCAGGGAAACUUGAGCUAAUACCGGAUACGUCCGAGAGGAGAAAGAUUUAUCGCCGAGGGAUCGGCCCGCGUCUGAUUAGCUUGUUGGUGAGGUAACGGCUCACCAAGGCGACGAUCAGAGCUGGUCUGAGAGGAUGAUCAGCCACAUUGGGGACUGAGACACGGCCCAAACUCCUACGGGAGGCAGCAGUGGGGAAUAUUGGACAAUGGGCGCAAGCCUGAUCCAGCCAUGCCGCGUGAGUGAUGAAGGCCCUAGGGUUGUAAAGCUCUUUUACCUGGGAAGAUAAUGACUGUACCGGGAGAAUAAGCCCCGGCUAACUUCGUGCCAGCAGCCGCAGUAAC
RNAcentral lists this ribosomal RNA (452 nucleotides) under uncultured bacterium. RNAcentral's name for it is "bacterial SSU rRNA". It matches the Rfam family "Bacterial small subunit ribosomal RNA", at positions 29 to 524 of the family's 1533-position model. The record is from RNAcentral.